RNAcentral lists this ribosomal RNA (360 nucleotides) under Anelosimus sp. 1 SK-2015. RNAcentral's name for it is "partial 16S ribosomal RNA". The stretch from base 110 to 360 matches the Rfam family "Bacterial large subunit ribosomal RNA", at positions 2079 to 2606 of the family's 2925-position model. Lineage: Eukaryota; Metazoa; Arthropoda; Arachnida; Araneae; Theridiidae. The record is from RNAcentral.
CUUGUUUUUUAAUUAAAAACUAGAAUGAAAGGUCUAACAUUUAAAUUAAAUUAUUUAAAUUUUAUAAUAAAAUUAUACUAAAUAUAAAAAUAUAUUUAUAUAAUAAAAAGACGACAAGACCCUAUUGAACUUAACUUAAGUUAAACUGGGGCAGUUAUUUAAAUAAAAUUUUAAUUUAUAAAAACAAUUGAUCCAAUAAAAUUGAAUUAUGAAAAAGUUACCAUAGGGAUAACAGCGUUAUAAAUUUUUAAAGUUCUUAUUAAAAUAAUUGAUUGCGACCUCGAUGUUGAAUUAUAUUUCUUAUAAAGUGCAAUAACUUAUAAAGUAGGUCUGUUCGACCUUUAAAAUAUUACAUGAUCU